UUCAAGUUUCAUCUUUAAAGAUUAAAGCCUUUUCCAAGUUCUUUCAAGUGGUUGAAGAUCAAUCCAUGGAGCUUUUAAGGAGAAGCAAACUUUUUAUCAUAAAAACCAUCAUCAAAAACUCAUUUAUAAUCAUGAAAGGGAACUAAGGGAUCUGGCACGGUAUGGCACGUUUUCCCGCUGCACUAGUACAAGGUCAUCCGGGGUUUAGGGAAUGUGACUCUUUCCUGGAC
RNAcentral lists this long non-coding RNA (230 nucleotides) under Helianthus annuus (common sunflower). RNAcentral's name for it is "sRNA HanXRQr2_Chr08g0358941". Lineage: Eukaryota; Viridiplantae; Streptophyta; Magnoliopsida; Asterales; Asteraceae. The record is from RNAcentral.